UGGGGAAUAUUGGGCAAUGGAGGGAACUCUGACCCAGCAACGCCGCGUGAAGGAUGAAGGUUUUCGGAUUGUAAACUUCUGUCGCGAGGGACGAAGAAUGACGGUACCUCGUAAGAAAGCCCCGGCUAACUACGUGCCAGCAGCCGCGGUAAUACGUAGGGGGCGAGCGUUGUCCGGAAUGACUGGGCGUAAAGGGAGUGUAGGCGGCUGUGCAAGUUAGAUGUGAAAUCCCAUGGCUUAACCAUGGAACUGCAUCUAAAACUGCAUAGCUGGAGUGCAGGAGAGGUGAGUGGAAUUCCUAGU
This 303-nucleotide ribosomal RNA is filed under the name uncultured bacterium. RNAcentral describes it as "bacterial SSU rRNA". It matches the Rfam family "Bacterial small subunit ribosomal RNA", at positions 355 to 674 of the family's 1533-position model. The record is from RNAcentral.